AGGCCCUGCUUUUGUGGGGUGCUCGAGUGGCGAACGGGUGAGUAACACGUGAGUAACCUGCCCUUGACUUUGGGAUAACUUCAGGAAACUGGGGCUAAUACCGGAUAGGAGCUCCUGCUGCAUGGUGGGGGUUGGAAAGUUUCGGCGGUUGGGGAUGGACUCGCGGCUUAUCAGCUUGUUGGUGGGGUAGUGGCUUACCAAGGCUUUGACGGGUAGCCGGCCUGAGAGGGUGACCGGCCACAUUGGGACUGAGAUACGGCCCAGACUCCUACGGGAGGCAGCAGUGGGGAAUAUUGCACAAUGGGCGGAAGCCUGAUGCAGCAACGCCGCGUGCGGGAUGACGGCCUUCGGGUUGUAAACCGCUUUCGCCUGUGACGAAGCGUGAGUGACGGUAAUGGGUAAAGAAGCACCGGCUAACUACGUGCCAGCAGCCGCGGUGAUACGUAGGGUGCGAGCGUUGUCCGGAUUUAUUGGGGCGUAAAGGGCUCGUAGGUGGUUGAUCGCGUCGGAAGUGUAAUCUUGGGGCUUUAACCCUGAGCGUGCUUUCGAUAC
This 552-nucleotide ribosomal RNA is filed under the name Cutibacterium acnes. RNAcentral describes it as "bacterial SSU rRNA". It matches the Rfam family "Bacterial small subunit ribosomal RNA", at positions 70 to 633 of the family's 1533-position model. The record is from RNAcentral. Lineage: Bacteria; Bacillati; Actinomycetota; Actinomycetes; Propionibacteriales; Propionibacteriaceae.